GGAAAUUUACAUAAGAUGUAUUGGGAAACGUACAUUCAUCGUCUGUUAAAUGGUAACCGACAGAUUUACGAAUGGCUAAGGCUAAGGUGCUUACCUUUGUGCGCCAUAUCCUCUAAGGACGGCAGACGCUCUAUUAAGGCGCCUGUAGACCAAUGCGGCACUACAGCUCCAAUGGCCGUCGGGGUGGAUUGUAAAGGCCUUUUGCUGUUGGAUUUCGUACUGCCCGCUGGGAGAACCCUAGGUAGCGAGGCGAACCUUUAAUAAAAUGCAAAAUGCAAAUGUGCAGAUGGUGUUGCCGGUGCUAUUAAUGAUCAGAAAUCCAUUGUUUUCUGAGUAAUAAAGAAGUCCCCAGGCAUACAAUCAAGAAUUUGUGUAUAUCUCGUGCACUACCGCGAUCGCGACAAGUCACAGGAUACAACGAUGGCGGUGGAGAAACUGUAAUUUAUUUAGAGUAUGCGAGCAAUAAGAAUUUUCCGGACAUAGCCUGCCUGCGCCACGGUGCCGACUAGGCCGACCCUUCGAAUGCCAUCGACGGAAUCAUGGAAUUCUUUUUGUUGUUGAAACAGGGUGGAAUGUGAUUGGCUGAGCCUGGGAUACUGGCUAAAGCACCACCAUUUGCCACGGGAAAGUGCUCUGGUUGGCUGGCUGUUGGCCACAACAGUUGUCGCACUCGCACUUACCUCCAUAUACAUUAAAAAUAAAGGUAGAAGAGCACAUAAAAUACUGCAAUUCUUACUAAAAAAGGAAUCAGUUUGAAAUAAAAGAAAGGCAGGAACAGGCACACAAAUACUCACAACAGGGCUUGCACAUUUUAUGAUUAAACAUAUGUUAAAAGAUGAAUUUCGUUUAGUCUUUAAGUUUAGCCUGUCCCCUACUAAAGCCUUCAUUUCAUUUAAAUUGAAGUAUUUCGAGGUAAUCAGGGCCAGUCACUAUCUAAUAGAAUUCUUUCAUUCCGAUACACAAUAACGCGCUCGUACAUUUCCGGUUCCCGUUAACUACCCGCAGCGUUUCCGCUGUAAAACGAGUGGCACUUACACCUUACAAACAAUGCGUGGGCGUAACGUACCAAAUGUUAAGCGCAAAAUGUCGACAAGCCUAAACACGAACAGUUACACCCACAUGUGGAGGCUUCUGAAUCUUCGUAAGGAUUGCGUCCUGCUUUGGCCUUUAACCAAUCAUCUAUGCUGCGUCCUGCGUGUUCGAAAGGGACGGCAAAUAAGAGGCGUACGUUCGUUUUUUAUGCCAUACAAUGCUUUACAGGCAUUCUUUCCUACAAACACAAGAGGACAACGCGCAACGUAACUGCAGGCGAGCGAUAAUAUAUUUAAAGGUAAUAUGCACAAAAAAUAUUUGUUUUCGAUUGUGGAAACAAAAGUUACACAAUAUUAUAAACAAUAUUAUUACACAAAGCAUAACACAAUUCCUUUACAAAAUACAAUAGUCCAACAAAUCAAGUGAAUAAGUAAUUUUUAUAUAUAAUUUUCAACUUUCAAUAUGCAAUCUAUGCCUAUGCUUCGGACAAGCCUACAUUUAUAUAUAUACCUACAUU
Molecule: long non-coding RNA, 1549 nt
Organism: Drosophila serrata
Lineage: Eukaryota; Metazoa; Arthropoda; Insecta; Diptera; Drosophilidae
Source: RefSeq, a predicted model, not a curated record